This is a non-coding RNA of Rhizobium mesoamericanum STM3625, 63 nucleotides long. The record is from Rfam. Lineage: Bacteria; Pseudomonadati; Pseudomonadota; Alphaproteobacteria; Hyphomicrobiales; Rhizobiaceae.
UGUCAAGAGUUGGCACCAAUCUGGUGAGGGGAUUUCUUUUGCCUUCAAAAGGUGAAGGUGAUG